AAGCUCAAAUUUGAAAUCCCCCGGGAAUUGUAAUUUGAAGAGAUUUGGGUCCGGCCGGCAGGGGUUAAGUCCACUGGAAAGUGGCGCCACAGAGGGUGACAGCCCCGUGAACCCCUUUAAAGCCCUCAUCCCAGAUCUCCAAGAGUCGAGUUGUUUGGGAAUGCAGCUCUAAGUGGGUGGUAAAUUCCAUCUAAAGCUAAAUACCGGCGAGAGACCGAUAGCGAACAAGUACAGUGAUGGAAAGAUGAAAAGCACUUUGAAAAGAGAGUGAAAAAGUACGUGAAAUUGUUGAAAGGGAAGGGCUUGCAAGCAGACACUUAACUGGGCCAGCAUCGGGGCGGCGGGGAGCAAAACCACCGGGGAAUGUACCUUUCGAGGAUUAUAACCCCGGUCCUUACUCCCUCACCAUCCCGAGGCCUGCAAUCUAAGGAUGCUGGCGUAAUGGUUGCAAGUCGCCCGU
This 460-nucleotide ribosomal RNA is filed under the name Metschnikowia chrysoperlae. RNAcentral describes it as "partial large subunit ribosomal RNA". It matches the Rfam family "Eukaryotic large subunit ribosomal RNA", at positions 104 to 652 of the family's 3401-position model. The record is from RNAcentral. Lineage: Eukaryota; Fungi; Ascomycota; Pichiomycetes; Serinales; Metschnikowiaceae.